RNAcentral lists this ribosomal RNA (467 nucleotides) under uncultured bacterium. RNAcentral's name for it is "partial 16S ribosomal RNA". It matches the Rfam family "Bacterial small subunit ribosomal RNA", at positions 29 to 507 of the family's 1533-position model. The record is from RNAcentral.
ACGAACGCUGGCGGCGUGCUUAACCCAUGCACGUCGAACGGAAAGGCCCUGCUUUUGUGGGGUGCUCGAGUGGCGAACGGGUGAGUAACACGUGAGUAACCUGCCCUUGACUUUGGGAUAACUUCAGGAAACUGGGGCUAAUACCGGAUAGGAGCUCCUGCUGCAUGGUGGGGGUUGGAAAGUUUCGGCGGUUGGGGAUGGACUCGCGGCUUAUCAGCUUGUUGGGGGGGUAGUGGCUUACCAAGGCUUUGACGGGUAGCCGGCCUGGGAGGGUGACCAGCCACAUUGGGACUGAGGUAGGGCCCAGACUCCUACGGGGGGCAGCAGUGGGGAAUAUUGCACAAUGGGCGGAAGCCUGAUGCAGCAACGCCGCGUGCGGGAUGACGGCCUUCGGGUUGUAAACCGCUUUCGCCUGUGACGAAGCGUGAGUGACGGUAAUGUGUAAAGAAGCACCGGCUAACUACGUG